GGGUGUAUGUCAGUGGUAGAGCGUGUGCUUAGCAUGCACAAGGUCCUGGGUUCAAUCCCCAGUACCUCCA
Molecule: transfer RNA, 70 nt
Filed under: Camelus bactrianus (Bactrian camel)
Lineage: Eukaryota; Metazoa; Chordata; Mammalia; Artiodactyla; Camelidae
Also listed under: 2 other names
Rfam family: tRNA
About the family: Transfer RNA (tRNA) molecules are approximately 80 nucleotides in length.
Source: Rfam by way of RNAcentral